AUGGCCGGCACCGGCGGCUUGUCGGAGUCGGUGAUGCGGAAGGUGCUGCUGUCCUACUGCUACGUGGCGGUGUGGAUCUUCCUCUCCUUCGCCGUCAUCGUCUACAACAAGUACAUCCUCGACCCCAAGAUGUACAACUGGCCCUUCCCCAUCUCGCUCACCAUGGUGCACAUGAGCUUCUGCUCCUCGCUCGCCGUGGGGCUCGUCCGCGUCCUGCGGGUCGUUGAGCCGCCCUCCUCCCCGCCCAUGACGCCGCAGCUCUACACCUCCUCCGUCGUGCCCAUCGGCGCGCUCUACGCCAUGUCGCUCUGGUUCUCCAACUCGGCAUACAUCUACCUCUCCGUCUCCUUCAUCCAGAUGCUCAAGGCGCUCAUGCCCGUCGCCGUCUACUCCAUCGGCGUCCUCUUCAAGAAGGAGACCUUCAGGUCAUCCUCCAUGCUCAACAUGCUCUCCAUCUCCUUCGGCGUCGCCAUCGCCGCCUACGGCGAGGCCAGGUUCGACCUCCGUGGCGUCGCGCUCCAGCUCGCCGCCGUCGCCUUCGAGGCCACCCGCCUCGUGCUCAUCCAGAUCCUGCUCACCUCCAAGGGCAUCUCGCUCAACCCCAUCACCUCGCUCUACUACGUCGCGCCCUGCUGCCUCUGCUUCCUGCUCGUGCCCUGGAUCUUCGUCGAGCUGCCCAGGCUGCGCGCCGUCGGCACCUUCCAGCCCGACUUCUUCAUCUUCGGCACAAACUCGCUCUGCGCCUUUGCGCUCAACCUUGCGGUGUUCCUGCUCGUUGGCAAGACCUCCGCGCUCACCAUGAAUGUUGCGGGAGUGGUCAAGGACUGGCUGUUGAUUGCCUUCUCCUGGUCCGUGAUCCGGGACACGGUCACCCCCAUCAACCUCUUCGGCUACGGCAUCGCCUUCUUAGGGGUUGGCUACUACAACCAUAUCAAGCUGCAGGCGCUCAAGGCCAAGGAGGCGCAGAAGAAGUCCGCGCAGGCCGACGAGGAGGCCGGCUCCCUGUUGCAGGAGCGCGAUAGCCACAGUGAUCGCAAGAGCGAGAACCAGGCAUAG
Molecule: ribosomal RNA, 1056 nt
Filed under: Triticum aestivum (bread wheat)
Lineage: Eukaryota; Viridiplantae; Streptophyta; Magnoliopsida; Poales; Poaceae
Description: partial small subunit ribosomal RNA
Source: RNAcentral